AAAAGAACGCGUGCAAAAACCAUAAUCGACCUUCGUCGAUUUUUUUAUUUCAAAAUUAAAGAAACGGCUUGAGAUAUUCCGAGCAAUUAUAAAAAUUAAUUUGUCUUGAAUAUUGCUACUACAUUCUUGAAAAAGUGAUGUAGAUUUAUAGCCCAUAACUUUUUUUGAAUUACAUCGACGAUACGGCGUCGAAAGAAAAAUAAAUAGACCGUAUGAAAGAAAAAG
Molecule: non-coding RNA, 225 nt
Filed under: Staphylococcus saprophyticus subsp. saprophyticus ATCC 15305 = NCTC 7292
Lineage: Bacteria; Bacillati; Bacillota; Bacilli; Caryophanales; Staphylococcaceae
Description: Staphylococcus saprophyticus subsp. saprophyticus ATCC 15305 Enterococcus sRNA A1
Rfam family: Enterococcus sRNA A1
About the family: Name 'Ref' stands for RNA in E. faecalis. Encoded by pTEF1 plasmid.
Source: Rfam by way of RNAcentral